Molecule: long non-coding RNA, 2102 nt
Organism: Patella vulgata (common limpet)
Lineage: Eukaryota; Metazoa; Mollusca; Gastropoda; Patellidae
Exons: 5
Source: RefSeq, a predicted model, not a curated record
ACCUGUCACAGGUGAGAUUAGAACAGGUAACUUCCGGUCUUUCCUGUUGGGAGAAGUGUCAUGGCGUCUUAAUUGUUGUGACUAAUAAAUAUUUGAGAUAUUUAAAAAGAGAAAUUUGAGAAAAUCAGAGAAGAUGGGACUUAAAAUUCAAAAUUUUUGUGCGUCCACACCUUUGGCAUUAGGAUCAGUACUAUUGGCAAUCAGUUGCCUGGUUCUGGUAUUGUCUGGAUUUUUGCCAUAUUGGUUUAUAAUUCGUAUUAAUCCAAAUGAUGCAGCUUAUGGCGUUGAAGGGAAACCUGAGAGUUACUCUAUUUCAAGUGGUUUAUUUUUCAUGAAUUCAGGUGAAAACAAAUACCAGGAUAUGGUAUUUCUGAAUAAAAUUACCAAUCACCAAUUUGCUCCAAAAUCAAUAGUUGCCGGUCAGGUUUUCUAUAUAUCUGGUGUCACUGGUCUAUUGGGCUGUACAGUAGCAGCAUUUAUUCUGGCAUGCCGUGAACUGGGUUCUGUCGUUGGGGAAUUUUUCUUGGCAGGGUUUGUAACUAUUUCAUCUCUAUGUGUGGUAUUAGGAGUUAUUUUUUCAGCCUUUGUGUUUUUAAACCCGGAUGAUAGUGAAUGGAUCAACCUGCCCAUGCACAGUCCUUCUCGUGUUUCUUCCAAAAUAUCUCCCGAGGGUAUAGAUAUAGACUGGGUUUACUAUAUAGCCAUCAUUGGAGCUGUUACAACUAUUAUUGGGGUGAUAUUUAUAUGGAUAGAAGCCUUAAAGACUUGUCGCUAUGUAGAGGAUAUCAGACAGAAGCAGUUAAUGGACCCAAGUUACGGGAGAACCGAAGACAUAGCCUAUACUCAGUUCACAUAUGAACAAUCCUAUCCAAAGUCAUAUCAAGUUACUGUACCAUCUGCUCAGCCUCAACGACCAGUUUAUUAUGGACAGGAAGAAGUGGAGAUUGCGAAUGUUUCAGGUUUUCAAGAAGUUAAUAUUUAAGAGAGCAAGGUUUUGUUUUUUUUAAAUUUUUACCAUGGGUUCAUAUUUCAGUAAAAGUUUGGUCAAACUGAAUAAACAUUUGAAAUAAUUCACAAUUUUGUUGUGCAGAUCUUAACAUGGAAAAAAUAAUAAAUAUAUGAUCUGUUUAAAUUCAUACUAUGGAAAAAUCUUUUAAAAGAUUUUAAUGGCCUAUCUUUCAGUGUCAGAAAAUGCAUCCAAAUGUUAUAGGUAUCUAAAUAUUGUUCAAUAGAUAAGGCUAUUUAUAAAAUUUAUACGAAGAGAAUAUUAGAACUAGCUAAUGUUUUUUUAAGAGAAUGUAAUUUUGUACAUUCCAGAAAUAAUUUUACUUUGUACAUAGUCUUUUAUAAGGCAAAAACAUUUUUAUAAGCUGAAGUAGCUCUUGCCUAUAUUAUUCAUUUAUAUAAAUAACUUUCAUUACUGGACAUAUGCAUUAAAUUUUUACACAUUUUUCAUUUCAAGAUGUAACAUCAUAUAAUUAUAUAUAUGUAAGAAAAGGUCAAUAUUGAUAUAUCCUUCAUGUGUGGGAUUUGAGGUGCCUGGAUGUUUGGCAAUCUGAUGUCACAUCAUCUGUUGCUAGAAAAAGCUAUAAGCACCACCUAGUUUCUUGGAUGGCACCGACUCACGAACCAGGAUGCCCUUUGUUUAAUUCAGUUGUUGGCCAAGAAAGUUCCUAGGGUUUUUUCAGUCUUGAUUUGUGCAAGAAAGUAAAGACUUUGAAAUAAUCAAACUAUGUGUGAAUUGAUGUUACUGAAACCUCAACUGUUUCAAUUAUUGAAUUAAGAUCGUUUUAAAUCGUUGAGCAAAUUAUUUUACCUUAUUAAAUAAGAAACUGGAAAAAUUUGUUUCAUAUUUAUACAUACAAAUAAUCCAUUUUAAAAAGCGUCUCCUACAUUUUAUUGGAGGUUGUUAUUAAGUGACAGAGUGUUGGCUUUAUUAGGUUGAAUAUGGUACAUGUAGGAGCAUAAAAUUUUCCACAAUUUCAUCUUCAUUGAUUCUUUGAUAUAUUGUACAGUAAAUAUUUUAUAUAUGUAUGCAUUCCUAUAGUUAUUUUCAUAUAUCAAUUUAUAUACCGGUACAUUAAAAUUUGUAAGAAAAAUUA